CACAAAACCACCGACAUCAACUCUCUCACUGAUUACUUGAUGACAAUAAAAGAUCUGAUAUUCUG
RNAcentral lists this small nucleolar RNA (65 nucleotides) under Papio anubis (olive baboon). RNAcentral's name for it is "Small nucleolar RNA SNORD81 (ENSPANG00000012158.3)". It matches the Rfam family "Small nucleolar RNA SNORD81". Rfam says of the family: U81 is a member of the C/D class of snoRNA which contain the C (UGAUGA) and D (CUGA) box motifs. U81 acts as a guanine methylation guide and is found in intron 11 of the gas5 gene in mammals. This RNA has also been called Z23 snoRNA. Lineage: Eukaryota; Metazoa; Chordata; Mammalia; Primates; Cercopithecidae. The record is from Rfam by way of RNAcentral. RNAcentral also lists the same sequence under 1 other name.